Amphiprion ocellaris (clown anemonefish) is the source of this 2900-nucleotide long non-coding RNA. RefSeq lists it as uncharacterized. The record is from RefSeq and is a predicted model, not a curated record. Lineage: Eukaryota; Metazoa; Chordata; Actinopteri; Pomacentridae. The transcript has 3 exons.
CCUUCCUUCUAGACCUAAAGAAACCCUUCUGCAUUCUCAGAAUUAUGAGGACAACGACCCUGUCCUCAUAAUUCAAAAUGUCCUCAUAGUGUGGCUUGUAUUCAUGCAAAAUAUUCUCAUAAUACACAAUAGCAGACACACACACACACACACACUCAAAGGUUUGGACACACUUUGUCAUUUAAUGGUUUUUCUUUAUUUUCAUGACUGUUUACAUUGUAGAUUCUCACUGAAGGCAUGAAAACUAUGAACACAUAUGGAAUUAUGUACUAAACAACAAAGCAUGUUUUAUAUUUUGGAUUCUUCCAAACAGCCACCCAUUGCUUUGAUUACUGCUUUGCACACUCUUGUCAUUCUCUCAAUGAAUGAACCUGAAAUGGUUUUCCAACAGUCUUGAAGGAGUUUCCAGAGAUCUAUUAUUUUAUUUUUUCAGUGGUUUAUUUCAUUUUUUGGUUAUGUUAUUUUUCCAGUUGUUUAUUUUUUUCCUGGUUAUUUAUUUUAUUUUUCCAAUUAUUUGUUUUCCUUGCUGGUUGUUUGUUUCAUAUUCUAAUUGUUUCAUUUUGGUAGUUUUUGGCAGUUUUCCAAUUUGUAGGAGCCAAAUUGCGAUUUGUGUUGAUUUUCACACAUUCUUUCAUUUUAUUAGUAUGCUUAUGUGAUGGGAGGAAUGGAGAGAGUGUGUGUGUGAAGGUGUGCCCUUGAGGAAGCUGUAGGUGGAGCCUAAGGUAAAGGCUUCAAGACCAGCUGCCACAGCAUCUGUCUGGGUGUGGCUGAGGAAGGAAAAAGUUUUUUGACCAUGCAGCUGCAAGAAGGAACAAGGCCUUCUAAAGACUCUUUCCUUCAAAUCUUUUGUAACCGGGGUGAAAACUGAGGUUGAAAUACAUUUUUCCACUCGAUUUUAGUUUUUCCCACAUUUUCCCUGCCCCUGAAUGCCUCAUGACAUGUGACCAGGUCACAUGACAGCAAUCAUCCAAUCGGUGACUUCUCUAGCCCUAUAUAAGCUGCUCUGACGCCACUCUCCUCAGUUGUGUGGGAGAGGAGCCAGAGACAGCAGCUGCUCAGAAUCCAGACCUGUACUUUUGUGUUGGGACUCUACCUUGUUUUGUGCUUUGUGAUCAUAAGGAACUGGCCAGGUGCCCCUGAUCCACCACGGAUUUCCUGUAUCUAUUCGAUGGCGAGCUUCGAUCCCAAGCCAGGAGCCUGAAGAAAUCCCAACCCUUUGUCAACAUCCCAUGGUCUGGUAGGAGGCUUAGCAGCCUGCUCACUCUCCUACCUUCUCACUACUGAGCCCUUUCACAUCCACCUACUCCCCCUCUGGACAAUUUGCGCGUUGGAAACUACCCACCUCGAACAAUAAAAGCCCCAAAUGAACAAUUGCGUUCAGUAUGCGUUUGGAGCCACCCAAAUGCUUGGUCGGACCUUGGGAUGCAUUUUGUUUUCUUUUUCUAGUUUGAUUUAUUGAACUUCAUGAGAAACAGAAACAAUUGUAUUGUUGACUGGUUGUUGUUCUUUUGAUUGAUUGAUUAAUCUGUGCACAGAAAUUACUGCAGUUUGUAAAUACGUUUUGCUUUAUUUUGUUCACAUUCUUAUAAUAUAUUUCCACAUUUAAAAUCAAAUUACUAUCUCCUGGUCUCAUUUACUGCACUGCCCUCCAGUAGCCGAAUCUAACCUUCUGUCAAUAGCCCAGUAUAUAUUCUCACCUAAUUCAACCACUUUUAGUAUUAUCAUUAUUUAACGCUACACACUCCUGGUUGUAAGUAAUUACAUAAUUACAUUGUAAUAAAGCAAACUCUUGCUACAAUUUGUUAAUUGAUAUUUCAAUUUAUCUGUAAAUUCAUUCAAGCAAUAAAUGGUCAUUGGGAAGAACUGGAGCCACUACUCAUCUUUAUCUGCAUGUGUCAAGACACAAAUCCAACUCAGCCAUCAUUUUACUUCAUUUAUUUCAUUUUUUGGUUAUGUUAUUUUUCCAGUUGUUUAUUUUUUUCCUGGUUAUUUAUUUUAUUUUUCCAAUUAUUUGUUUUCCUUGCUGGUUGUUUGUUUCAUAUUCUAAUUGUUGAAUUUUGGCAGUUUUUGGCAGUUUUCCAAUUUAUAGGAGCCAAAUUGCGAUUUGUGUUGAUUUUCACAAAUUCUUUCUUUUUAUUAGUAUGUUUAUGUGAUGGGAGGAAUGGAGAGAGAGUGUGUGUGCAGGUGUGCCCUUGAGGAAGCUGUAGGUGGAGCCUAAGGUAAAGGCUUCAAGAACAGCUGCCACAGCAUCUGUCUGGGUGUGGCUGAGGAAGGAAAAAGUUUUUUGACCAUGCAGCUGCAAGAAGGAACAAGGCCUUCUAAAGACUCUUUCCUUCAAAUCUUUGUUAAUUGAUUUUUCAAUUUAUCUGUAAAUUCAUUCAAGCAAUAAAUGGUCAUUGGGAAGAACUGGAGCCACUACUCAUCUUUAUCUGCAUGUGUCAAGACACAAAUCCAACUCAGCCAUCAGUAAAAGUCAAACAGCAAACCAGAGGGGUUGGCUGAAAUUGCUAUUACACAAUUGUUUAUGUCAUUUUCCAGUUGAUUAUUUUAUUUUCUGGUUGUUUAUUUUAUUUUUCCAGUUGUUUAUUUUAUUUUCUGGUUGUUUAUUUCAUUUUCCUGAGUCUUUAUUUCCCCCGGUUGUUUAUUUUAUUUUUCCAGUUGUUAUAAGAAAAUGUUCCACCCAACAAGCUUAAUGUCAUCUCCUCUUCCUUCACUGUUCACCAAACUUUCUUGUGCGCUGUCAUUACUCAAUACAUCCUGUGUAUCUUCUUCGAGGCUGGCAAGACCCUGAUGUGUUUCUAUUAACGUCUCCGUGCUUUUAUAUUGAUAGGCUGGCAUCCUACAAAGUAUUAUGGUAACUUCCUCUGACUACCUACGUUUUUUUUCCUUUCUAAAAUCUG